Oncorhynchus nerka (sockeye salmon) is the source of this 190-nucleotide small nucleolar RNA. RefSeq annotates it as small nucleolar RNA SNORA53. The record is from RefSeq and is a predicted model, not a curated record. The transcript has a single exon. NCBI's taxonomy places the organism in Eukaryota, Metazoa, Chordata, Actinopteri, Salmoniformes, Salmonidae.
UAGGGGCUCCAGUGCUGCAACUCCAGCCUGGAGGCCCUCAGCAGCUUUCUGGCUGUACAGUUGGAGGUGCUUGAGUCAUUGGUGUGUGAGAGCAGUCUACCUGCCCCGCCCGGCCCACUGUUGCUCUGGCAACCCUCAGUCCUACUGGGGGGGAUUCUACCAGCGCAGCUAGGCUGGGGGGGCGGACAAC